GGAGGAUUAGCUCAGCUGGGAGAGCAUCUGCCUUACAAGCAGAGGGUCGGCGGUUCGAUCCCGUCAUCCUCCACCA
This 76-nucleotide transfer RNA is filed under the name Campylobacter jejuni. RNAcentral's name for it is "tRNA-Val". It matches the Rfam family "tRNA". Rfam says of the family: Transfer RNA (tRNA) molecules are approximately 80 nucleotides in length. Their secondary structure includes four short double-helical elements and three loops (D, anti-codon, and T loops). Further hydrogen bonds mediate the characteristic L-shaped molecular structure. tRNAs have two regions of fundamental functional importance: the anti-codon, which is responsible for specific mRNA codon recognition, and the 3' end, to which the tRNAs corresponding amino acid is attached (by aminoacyl-tRNA synthetases). tRNAs cope with the degeneracy of the genetic code in two manners: having more than one tRNA (with a specific anti-codon) for a particular amino acid; and 'wobble' base-pairing, i.e. permitting non-standard base-pairing at the 3rd anti-codon position. RNAcentral also lists the same sequence under 852 other names. The record is from RNAcentral. Lineage: Bacteria; Pseudomonadati; Campylobacterota; Epsilonproteobacteria; Campylobacterales; Campylobacteraceae.